GUCUAUGGCUAUGCCACCCUGAAUGAGCCUGAUGUCUGAUCUCAGAAGCUAAGCAGGGUUGGGCCUGGUUAGUACUUGGAUGGGAGACCCCUAAGAAGGCCAGGUGCUAUAGGCA
RNAcentral lists this ribosomal RNA (115 nucleotides) under Pteropus alecto (black flying fox). The record is from RNAcentral. Lineage: Eukaryota; Metazoa; Chordata; Mammalia; Chiroptera; Pteropodidae.